GGGGAAUCUUCCGCAAUGGACGAAAGUCUGACGGAGCGACGCCGCGUGUACGAAGAAGGCCUUCGGGUUGUAAAGUACUGUUGUUGGGGAAGAACGGCUCAAGUGUGAAUAAUGCUUGAGAUUGACGGUACCCAACGAGGAAGCCCCGGCUAACUACGUGCCAGCAGCCGCGGUAACACGUAGGGGGCGAGCGUUGUCCGGAAUUAUUGGGCGUAAAGGGCGCGUAGGCGGCCGUUUAAGUCUGAUGUGAAAGUGCGGGGCUUAACCCCGUAAAGCAUUGGAAACUGGAUGGCUUGAGGACAGGAGAGGAAAGUGGAAUUCCUAGUGUAGCGGUGAAAUGCGUAGAUAUUAGGAGGAACACCAGUGGCGAAGGCGACUUUCUGGACUGUGUCUGACGCUGAGGCGCGAAAGCGUGGGUAGCGAAC
RNAcentral lists this ribosomal RNA (425 nucleotides) under uncultured bacterium. RNAcentral's name for it is "bacterial SSU rRNA". It matches the Rfam family "Bacterial small subunit ribosomal RNA", at positions 356 to 773 of the family's 1533-position model. The record is from RNAcentral.